Non-coding RNA from Danio rerio (zebrafish), 5229 nucleotides. The record is from RefSeq and is a predicted model, not a curated record. NCBI's taxonomy places the organism in Eukaryota, Metazoa, Chordata, Actinopteri, Cypriniformes, Danionidae.
CGCUACACUCGCUCUACGGAACUCUCUUCUGUCUGCAGCGGCGGCGGAGACAAGAGAAAACAGACAUCAGCGUCGCGCAGCGCAACCUUACAAACUGAUAUCCUGUGGUGUGAGGCUGCAGUAACCCUGGAAUCAGCCUGAUUUGUUUCAAAUUAAACACAAGAAAUUUGUUCAACUAAUGCAUAAUGCCACGAUCUGCUGAACUUCCAGAGGAGUUCAAAGAACAGAUUGUUAUGUACCAUAAGGCAGGUAAGGGAUACAAAUCUAUAUCAAAGAUCACUGGACUGCACCAAUCUACAAUCAGAUCCAUAAUCCGCAAAUGGAAAAUGCUUGGAACCGUGAUGAAUCGUCCCAGGAGUGGUCGACCGACUAAAAUCUCUCCGAAGAUGCAACGUAAAAUCAUAAAGGAAGUCGCAAAAAAACCUGAGAUAACGUUGGAAGAGCUGCAGACUUGUCUUGCUAUAGCAAAAGUCAAUGUUCACAAAUCUACGAUCAGGAGGAGAUUGGACCAAAUCAAACUUCGAGAGAUGGUAGCAAAGCGAAGGAACAAGAAAUCAAAUGCUCAUCUUCGAUUUGAGAAACACGCUCAAGUUUUUGAACGAAGUUGUGUAAAGACAGAAGUAGCAGAAGUGGAGGUUUCUGUUUAAAACAAAUAGGUUUACAACAAUUCACACUACAAACACAAUGAAUUCUUAACUCUUCAUGUUGUCCGCAUUUUAAUCAUGCAUUUAACUCAAUUUAAGGUUAAUUUAUCAGUGAUUUUCUUACAACAACUUGAGGACAGUUUCAGUAGACUGACAACAAUAUGGUAACAAUGGCCACUAUGUUGAAUUCCAAAUAUUUAUUGCUUGAUGAUAUAACUAACUAAUACAAGAUGGCUAACAGUCAUGUGCUGAAUGUGCUCACCUCAAAGUCCUGACUGAAAUGCCAUUGGCGAGAACUGCAAAAACUCCAAAAAUGGUCCAGAAUGGUCAUACAUACAGACAAUCAUUACUUUAAGUACAUUUUUACCCAUUGCUUUUCAGUCUACACUUUAUUUUUGUUAAAUUAAUAAUGACACAGUAUGAGAUGGCAUGUGGUCUUCAUUUGAGGUUUAUUUAACAGAUUUUAAAACCUACCAAGGACCAUAUAGUUAUAUUAUUAUGUCCUGAUACUAAAAAAAGCAUGUAACUUUUUCACAUGACUGUGUCGGCCACUCUCAUAUCAGUAUCCAGAAUGUCGUGAACGUCCUUGUAACUGUUUGCUGAAGCUGUGGAUUCAGGGUAAUGAUGUUCAGUUUCUUUAAUUUCACUUCAGAAGACUUCAAUAAAUUGUUCUACUGAAAAAAGUCACCUAUUGGAUAGCUUGAGGGUGAGCAAAUUAACUGAAUUGUUUUUUUUUUACGUUCUUUUUAUUUCAUGCUUGUUUUCUUUUUUUACUUGUAUCUUUUCUGGCACUUUUUUUUAUAAUUUGCUGUGUUUAGCAUGAAUAGUUAUUUCUGUAUAUACUGUAUAUCAGUAAUGUACAAGUCUGCAGUAGAACUUCUGAAAUGGUGUACACACAUCUGAUGAUCAUAAUAAGCCUGUGAUCAUGAGCUUUAAUAAGUGUAAAUCUAGGCAUUUGUGUUAGUUUGUUUUGGCAAAACUUCACAACUAGUAUUCUCAUGGCCAACAUAUUAAAAACAGCUGCAGGUACACCUACAUGUGGAUUUGUACUGUAUAAUAUUUUUCUUUUCUUGUCUUACUGGAUUGUCAGUAACUAUGAAUGUGAUUUUAUUGUUUGUCAUCAUGCGACACAUUGAUUGUUUAAAUGAACUCUAGUCGCACAUGUAAAUUGGCAAGGCGAGCAACUGUCUGUCUUAAUAGUGCCUGCUCCAGACCUUGCCUGAGGACAAAGACGGAUCUCAGCCAGAUCUGUCUGAUAGUGUCAGCGCCAUACUUGAGUCACAUGAAACCAUACACUGUUUUAACUUGGAGUGGGCCAGAUCUGGGCCUAAUAUAAAUGUUGUUUUCCAGUGCGUGUGUGCUGGUUUUGGGCAGAGGACCCUGGCGUAUAGUGGACCAGAACAUAUGCCAGAUACAGAGGUUGGACCAAUUUAGUGUUGGUCUAUUUAGAGGUUUCAUAGCUUAAUUUGACCAGCCUCUUGGCUGAUCUUCAGUGAUUGCACAUUCCAACAGUAAGAGCAGAGUGUGAAGGUUUAACUAGCACAGUUAAAUAGUUACUAUUACUAUUAGCUUAGUAAUAGCACAGAUUUGCUUAAAUAUUGCAAUGCACACAACAUUAUGGGUGAAAUAUCAGAGUUCAAAAGAGGACAAAUUGUUGGUGGCCAUCUCGCUGGCAUCUGUGGCCAAGACAGCAAGUCUUUGUGAUGUAUCAAGAGCCACGAUAUGCAGGCUAAUGUCAGCAUAUCACCAAGAAUCACCACAUCCAACAGGAGUAACUGUCGACACAAGAGGGAGCUGUCUGAAAAGGAUGCCUGUGUGCUAAUCUGGAUUGUACCCAAAAAACAUAAAACCAUAACUGCUAAACUCACUGCAGAAAUAAAUGUGCACCUCAACUCUUCUGUUUCCACCAAAACAAUUAGUCAGGAGCUCCACACGGUCAGUAUACAAGACUGGGCUCCUAUAGCCCUGUCACUCGUGUCAAUGCCAAACGUCAGUUUCAAUGGUGUCAGCAGCGAAAAUAUUAGGCUGUGGACAAUGUGAAACAUGUAUUGUUUUCUUAUGAGUCCACAUUCACUGUCUAUCCCACGUCUGGGAGAGUUACGGUGUGGAGAAGCCCCUAAGAAGUGUAUCACCCAGACUUUUGCAUGCCCAGAGUGAAGAAUGGGGGUGGAUCUAUGGGGUGGAUCAGUGAGGGAUUUGGCUAGGUCCAAUACUUGUGCUAGAUGGGCGUGUCACUGCCAACUUGGACUUGAACUUUGGUUGUAUGCUGAAGGCUGUGCCAUGUAUCAGUAUGAUAACAGCAAGACAAGUUGAUCAUCUCCCAUGGCCUGUACAGUCACCAGAUUUAAAUAUAAUUAAACCACUUUGGGGUGUUUUAGAGGAGUGAGUCAGGAAAUGUUUUCUCCACCAGCAUCACGUAGUGACCUGGCCAAUAUUCUGCAAGAAUAGUGGCUCAAAAUCUCUCUGGCCACUGUGCAGGACAUGUAUCUGUCAAUAUGAAUGGAUGCUGUAUUGGCCCAAAAAUAAUGAAUUAUUGUGGUCUAAAACCAGCGUUUCAGUUUCAUUGUCCAACCUCCAAAGAAUUCGCUGUCUGGGUAUGUUUUUUUAAAAAGGAAAGUUAUUCCAAUUCUGAAUAUGAAAACGUAUGGACAGAUUUUCGAGCAUGUGUGGUUAGAUUUCUUGGAAUCUGGAUGAACUUUUAAAGUACAUAUUCAGAAAAUAGCAGAUAAUUGCAUGUAAAUGUAAUGAGGUGUUUAUUAGGAGCUAAAUGGGGAGUACUUCAUUACUUUCUUAUAAAAAAAUGUUACAGCUCAGCAGCUAAAACACAACUUUUCAAAAUCUAGGCAAUCAAUCAAAGACAAUUAGAAUCUGUUGCUGAGCAGUAAGAUCAUUGCCAACAACAGAAAUACAAAGGGAUGUGGGUUGAUUGCCUCCAAGAUUUAGAGGACUUAUUUAUAUGCAUGUAGUGCAUAUGCACAUAUAUAAAAAAGCAUAAUAAAGAAACAAAUAUGUUAACAAAUACAGCAGUACAGCAUAUAAAGAAUAAUAGAGCUCAAUACAAAUAUUCACAGAUGGUACAAAAGAUCCUGAAUCCAAUUAAGCAGCACCAGUAUACGUUUCAAUGUAAGAAUAUCAAAAAGAGGGUCAAAUCAGACAUUUGUUUUCACCAUAGAGAUUGUAUGUUCCUAGAUGCAGAAAGAAUGUGUAUUGAACAUUGUUAAAUCAGUGUCUAAAUAGAAUAGGAAAGCAUAAAACGUGAGCUUGCGUUUAUUGUGAAAAUGUAGACAAGCAGAAACAAUAGAGCAUGACAGAGAUUUCAAUUAAUCAAGUUAUAUAUUUGGUGUAAACCACUUGUCACUGCAGGUCCUGUUAAGAAUUGGCCGAAACUAGUAUAUCAAUUAAUUUGUUGUUUAAAUUGGUAAAAAUUGAUCAAAAGAAUUUUAAAAUCGUUAAAUUGAAACAUGAAAUAAGUCGUUUGUAUUAAUAAUAGUUUUUUUUUUUCUCCUCCCUCCUGGUAGUCUCCUUCGUCUUUUGAAAUCCUUGAUUUCAUGCUGUUUCAACCAUGUGCUCCACACUAGGUGGCGGGAAUGCACCAUUUAUGUAGGUUUGCAAACCGUUAUUAACCCCAAAAGAAGAAGGAUCUCCAGUCAGGCUGAAGUAACACCACAGACCUAAACCUAUUAUAGCUGGACCUCUGAGACGAGCACAGAAACAUUGUUGACGUGGUUGGACACAUUAAGAUCGACCUGAAUCUUCAUCUGAAUACAGCAGCCUUUCUUGUGUUCCAUAGCCUUUAAAUAGGUGUAAGGUUGCCAGCAAAUCCACAAUGGGACGAUCAAGUGAAAUUCCAGAAGCUGUUAAGGAAAAGAUUGUUUUUUACCAUAAGUCUGGUAAGGGAUACAAAUCCAUUUCAAAGAUUACAGGAAUGCACCGAUCCACCAUCAGAUCCAUCAUCCGCAAAUGGAAAACAACUGGAACCUUAAUGAACCUCCCCAGAAGUGGUCGACCGGUUAAAAUCUCUCCGGGUGUAGAACUCAAAAUCAUGAAUGAAAUCGAAAAGAAACCCGACAUCACUUCUAAAGAACUGCAGGCUUUCCUUGCCCUGACUAAAAUUAAAGUUCAUGACUCUACAAUCAGAAGAACGCUGAGAAAACUAGGCUAUGUCAAAGAGUAUGCAGCUCAAAAACCAUGCAUAAAAGAAGAAAUCGAGUCUCCUGAUUUUGAGGAGAAUGUUUUACAGAAAGAAGAGCUAAAGGGGGAUUUUUCUGUGUAAAAGGAAGUCAGAUUGUUCUAUACUGUACAGUAUUAUAUAUCAUUUUGAAGUAGUCUCAUCGUAUGAGACUCAACUGUAAUAUAAGAGGACUGUUCAUUUAUAUUAUUAUUCAUAUGGAAAGGAAAUUAAAGUGUACAGAAUUUAAGUUAAUUUUGAUUAGUUGCUAUCUGAAAUAUUGAAUCAUCUGUCAAUGAGAUUUAUUGUCAUCUCAUUCAUCCAUUUUGUUUUUGCACAUUAAAAAAUAUAAAAAUUUCUUUAUAUUGCUGCAUGUACAAUGCUUGAAUGAUGAUAAAACUAUUCAGAGAUGGUUAG